Molecule: ribosomal RNA, 459 nt
Filed under: uncultured bacterium
Lineage: Bacteria
Description: partial 16S ribosomal RNA
Rfam family: Bacterial small subunit ribosomal RNA
Source: RNAcentral
CCUACGGGGGACAGCAGUGAGGAAUAUUGGUCAAUGGGCGCGAGCCUGAACCAGCCAAGUCGCGUGAGGGAAGACGGUCCUAUGGAUUGUAAACCUCUUUUGUCGGGGAGCAAAAGACGCCACGCGUGGCGUUCCGAGAGUACCCGAAGAAAAAGCAUCGGCUAACUCCGUGCCAGCAGCCGCGGUAAUACGGAGGAUGCGAGCGUUAUCCGGAUUUAUUGGGUUUAAAGGGUGCGCAGGCGGAAGAUCAAGUCAGCGGUAAAAUUGAGAGGCUCAACCUCUUCGAGCCGUUGAAACUGGGUGUCUUGAGUGAGCGAGAGGUAUGCGGAAUGCGUGGUGUAGCGGUGAAAUGCAUAGAUAUCGCGCAGAACUCCGAUUGCGAAGGCAGCGUACCGGCGCUCAACUGACGCUCAUGCACGAAAGUGUGGGUAUCGAACAGGAUUAGAUACCCUUGUAGUC